RNAcentral lists this ribosomal RNA (432 nucleotides) under uncultured bacterium. RNAcentral's name for it is "partial 16S ribosomal RNA". It matches the Rfam family "Bacterial small subunit ribosomal RNA", at positions 338 to 795 of the family's 1533-position model. The record is from RNAcentral.
CCUACGGGUGGCAGCAGUGAGGAAUAUUGGUCAAUGGACGAGAGUCUGAACCAGCCAUGCCGCGUGAAGGAUGAAGGCGUUUGCGUCGUAAACUUCUUUUAUCAGGGAAGCGGUACCUGAGGAAUAAGCACCGGCUAACUCCGUGCCAGCAGCCGCGGUAAUACGGAGGGUGCAAGCGUUAUCCGGAUUUACUGGGUUUAAAGGGUGUGUAGGCGGGCCUUUAAGUCAGUGGUGAAAUCUUCGGGCUCAACCCGGAAACUGCCAUUGAUACUAUUGGUCUUGAAUCUUGUUGAGGUGGGCGGAAUACAUCAUGUAGCGGUGAAAUGCUUAGAGAUGAUGUAGAACACCGAUUGCGAAGGCAGCUCACUAAGCAAGAUUGACGCUGAGGCACGAAAGCGUGGGGAUCAAACAGGAUUAGAUACCCUUGUAGUC